UUAGUCACUUUCACUGCAU
Molecule: small nuclear RNA, 19 nt
Filed under: Arabidopsis thaliana (thale cress)
Lineage: Eukaryota; Viridiplantae; Streptophyta; Magnoliopsida; Brassicales; Brassicaceae
Description: snRNA_01590
Source: RNAcentral